AUUGAACGCUGGCGGCAUGCUUUACACAUGCAAGUCGAACGGCAGCGCGGGCUUCGGCCUGGCGGCGAGUGGCGAACGGGUGAGUAAUGCAUCGGAACGUGCCCAGUAGUUGGGGAUAGCCCGGCGAAAGCCGGAUUAAUACCGCAUCCGACCUGAGGGUGAAAGCGGGGGGCCGAAAGGCCUCGCGCUAUUGGAGCGGCCGAUGUCGGAUUAGCUAGUUGGUGGGGUAAAGGCUUACCAAGGCGACGAUCCGUAGCUGGUCUGAGAGGACGACCAGCCACACUGGGACUGAGACACGGCCCAGACUCCUACGGGAGGCAGCAGUGGGGAAUUUUGGACAAUGGGGGCAACCCUGAUCCAGCCAUGCCGCGUGCGGGAAGAAGGCCUUCGGGUUGUAAACCGCUUUUGUUCGGGAAGAAAUCCUCUGGGCUAAUACCCCGGGGGGAUGACGGUACCGGAAGAAUAAGCACCGGCUAACUACGUG
RNAcentral lists this ribosomal RNA (484 nucleotides) under uncultured bacterium. Its description in RNAcentral is "partial 16S ribosomal RNA". It matches the Rfam family "Bacterial small subunit ribosomal RNA", at positions 28 to 507 of the family's 1533-position model. The record is from RNAcentral.